GUGGGUAGUUUGACUGGGGCGGUCUCCUCCCAAAGCGUAACGGAGGAGCACGAAGGUUAGCUAAUCCUGGUCGGACAUCAGGAGGUUAGUGCAAUGGCAUAAGCUAGCUUGACUGCGAGCGUGACGGCGCGAGCAGGUGCGAAAGCAGGUCAUAGUGAUCCGGUGGUUCUGAAUGGAAGGGCCAUCGCUCAACGGAUAAAAGGUACUCCGGGGAUAACAGGCUGAUACCGCCCAAGAGUUCAUAUCGACGGCGGUGUUUGGCACCUCGAUGUCGGCUCAUCACAUCCUGGGGCUGAAGUAGGUCCCAAGGGUAUGGCUGUUCGCCAUUUAAAGUGGUACGCGAGCUGGGUUUAGAACGUCGUGAGACAGUUCGGUCCCUAUCUGCCGUGGGCGCUGGAGAAUUGAGGGGGGCUGCUCCUAGUACGAGAGGACCGGAGUGGACGCAUCACUGGUGUUCGGGUUGUCAUGCCAAUGGCACUGCCCGGUAGCUAAAUGCGGAAGAGAUAAGUGCUGAAAGCAUCUAAGCACGAAACUUGCCCCGAGAUGA
This 547-nucleotide ribosomal RNA is filed under the name Klebsiella pneumoniae. Its description in RNAcentral is "partial 23S ribosomal RNA". It matches the Rfam family "Bacterial large subunit ribosomal RNA", at positions 2261 to 2807 of the family's 2925-position model. The record is from RNAcentral. Lineage: Bacteria; Pseudomonadati; Pseudomonadota; Gammaproteobacteria; Enterobacterales; Enterobacteriaceae.